ACGGGAGGCAGCAGUGGGGAAUAUUGGGCAAUGGGCGCAAGCCUGACCCAGCAACGCCGCGUGAAGGAAGAAGGUUUUCGGAUUGUAAACUUCUGUCCUUGGUGACGAAGGAAGUGACGGUAGCCAAGGAGGAAGCCCCGGCUAACUACGUGCCAGCAGCCGCGGUAAUACGAGGGGUGCAAGCGUUGUUCGGAAUCACUGGGCGUAAAGGGAGCGCAGGCGGAGAUGCAAGCAGUCUGUACAAUACCGGGGCCCAACCCCGGACCUGCAGACUGGACUGUUUCUCUUGGAUAGUUCAGGGGCAAGCGGAAUUCCUGGUGUAGCGGUGGAAUGCGUAGAGAUCAGGAAGAACACCGAUGGCGAAGGCAGCUUGCUGGGGACUUAUCGACGCUCAUGCUCGAAAGUGCGGGUAGCAAACAGGAUUAGAUACCCUGGUA
Molecule: ribosomal RNA, 437 nt
Filed under: uncultured Fibrobacter sp.
Lineage: Bacteria; Pseudomonadati; Fibrobacterota; Fibrobacteria; Fibrobacterales; Fibrobacteraceae
Description: partial 16S ribosomal RNA
Rfam family: Bacterial small subunit ribosomal RNA
Source: RNAcentral